AUCUAAGUACCCCGAGGAAAAGAAAUCAACCGAGAUUCCCCCAGUAGCGGCGAGCGAACGGGGAGGAGCCCAGAGCCUGAAUCAGCAUGUGUGUUAGUGGAAGCGUCUGGAAAGGCGCGCGAUACAGGGUGACAGCCCCGUACACAAAAGCGCAUAUGCUGUGAGCUCGAUGAGUAGGGCGGGACACGUGGUAUCCUGUCUGAAUAUGGGGGGACCAUCCUCCAAGGCUAAAUACUCCUGACUGACCGAUAGUGAACCAGUACCGUGAGGGAAAGGCGAAAAGAACCCCGGCGAGGGGAGUGAAACAGAACCUGAAACCGUGUACGUACAAGCAGUGGGAGCACAGGUUUACCUGUGUGACUGCGUACCUUUUGUAUAAUGGGUCAGCGACUUAUAUUCUGUAGCAAGGUUAACCGCAUAGGGGAGCCGAAG
Molecule: ribosomal RNA, 432 nt
Filed under: Salmonella enterica subsp. salamae
Lineage: Bacteria; Pseudomonadati; Pseudomonadota; Gammaproteobacteria; Enterobacterales; Enterobacteriaceae
Description: partial 23S ribosomal RNA
Rfam family: Bacterial large subunit ribosomal RNA
Source: RNAcentral